Molecule: long non-coding RNA, 1746 nt
Organism: Nannospalax galili (Upper Galilee mountains blind mole rat)
Lineage: Eukaryota; Metazoa; Chordata; Mammalia; Rodentia; Spalacidae
Exons: 2
Source: RefSeq, a predicted model, not a curated record
CACUUAGGGCCACCAGAACAACAGGUGAAGGGAACUUUUAGCUCAUCUGGGAGGUGCAUACAAAGGUUCGUCACCUGGCACUUUAAACAUCCCUCUCAGUCUAGGGUAAUUGGGUUUCUCAGACACAGAAAAGGUGCUGUUGACUGUGGGGUGACACCUGGAGGAACUUCACCCAUAACUACACACUUGAUAUGAAGCAUGAUCCAUACCUGGUCACUUUCCAAGGAACCAAGAUUAAGGGAAGCCAGCCUACCAAAGCUGAGACCUUUUCUACUGGAGAGCCUCUAUCCUAUGUUCCACCUGGCUCCGUGUGAUGCAUAGGAAGCCUUAUCUUGUUGGCAUCUAGGGCACUGGCAAGGAGAAGUAUCCUGGAAGUGUCCAUGGAACUAUGGGACCCCUGACACCAUCUUUGGACCCAGUGACUUGAGUGUCUAGCACUUGGAUGACUCGUUCCUGGGGCCCAUUGAGAAAGGCAUAGUCAAGACUGAAAGAAGCCAGGCAGCAACUGCUCCACCCCUGUGGAGACAGCACCACUGAGCCGCUCCUGAGCAGGUCCAGGUCAUCUUGAACCAGUGCAGGAUGAAACACAGGCAUGCAAGAGUGAAUUAUCAAACUGGCCUGGGACUAAGGAGAUUUCUUAAAAUCCAGGUGGCAAUGAAACAUGCUUAAGCCUGGCAGCAGUCCAGGCAUAGACAGAGUUAUACUCCCAGAGCUGGAGAGGCAAAGGAAGGAGAUUCAUGAGCUGCAGCACCUGACCUACACAGUGAGACUUGAAAACAGACUUGCAACGUCUAAAAAGUACUAUAGUUUGACCACAUAAACAGGUGACCUUAUUCUGCCAUAAAUGCAAUUUCAAUCUACUACCUAUCAUUGUUUUAUUUAUUCAUUUGCUUUUAGUAUUUGGGUCUUUUAAAUCAAAUUUGUUGAGGCAUAAUUUUCAUGAUGUAAAUUCCAUAAAUAACCACGUUCAUUCACAUACUAUAGGCAUAACCGACACCACCAAGGCAAAGAACAGCUCCAACAAUUAUUUUUUGCAGUAGUGCUGAGAAUUAAAUCUAGGGCCAGGGCCCAGCAUGUGCCAGGCAAGUGUGCGCCCAGCAAGCUGCACAUCCUUAGUUGUUGGUUUUUUUUUUUUUUUUUUUUUUUUUUUUUAAAUAUUGGGAUAAUGUCUUACAAAGUUACAUAGGUCAGCUCUGAACUCUUGUAACCCAGGCAGGCCUGAACUCUUGGUAACGCCUGCCUCACACUCCCAAGUAUCUGGGAUUAUAGGACUGAAUACCAGGCCAAGCCUCUAAUGCUCCUUUUCAAAUGAAUAAGUUUGUUUUGUUAUUCCUUUUCUUUGGACUCAAACUUAAGGGUUAUAUAAUCUGGGUUUGUAUGUAUAUAUAGUUUGUGUAGUACCUUUGGGUAUAUGUUGUAUGUGGUGUUUAUAUAAUAUAGUUCUUUCAAAAGACUUUUAUUUAAAUUGGUUUAAGAAUAAAGGAAUGCUCAUAUAAAAUCAGCUAAAAUUCCUUUUAGUUCAUGGGACUCAAAACUUUGACAAAUAAGGUAAUUUUAAUUUGCUCAUAAAAGAAAAUAGAAAUGUCUCCAUCAUGUUAACUGUAUUUUGCCUAUGUUUACAUUCCUGUCUGUUAGGUGUUUAAGAUACAAUGUCUAUUACUUUCUCUGUUUCAAAUAUCGCUUCCUGAGUCAUCAUUAAAAUAUAGUUAUUUUAUUUUAUGAUGAAUAAAAUUUUGUCUAAAUUCA